Molecule: long non-coding RNA, 4576 nt
Organism: Ahaetulla prasina
Lineage: Eukaryota; Metazoa; Chordata; Lepidosauria; Squamata; Colubridae
Exons: 3
Source: RefSeq, a predicted model, not a curated record
UCGGGGUUUUUUGCCAUGCGGGGCCGAGAGAAUCCCUUUUAACCUGAAUGGAAAAUAAUCAGAAAGCAGCACUCAACUCAUAAUAGGAUCGGGAGAUCUUUAUCUGAGCUCUUUGGAAACAGCGGCGGGGACAAAAAUAAGUUGGCUGUCACUAGGCAGGAGCAGAAAAAUAUUCUGCUUGGCUUACUCAUCACCCUUCAGAGGAAAAAGCAAAACAAAAACCCAGCGUACAAAUUAAGAUUCUCCAAUAUGGCUUCCUUCUUCUCCAUCCUCUCACCAGUUCACCGCCGUCUUGUCUCCCAAAACGUUCAGGGCCUGGAUUAUUAUUAUUAUUAUUAUUAAAAUCCUGAUUUAAGAAGGGGGGAAAAAAAAUAAUCGUUUCACCUUCGCAAUCCACCUUUCCUAAACCCGGCGUCAACAGUAGACUUUGUUUUGCAAAGAACGCGAUUAAAAAUUAACUUCGUGCUAUCUUGGUUUUUGCCUUUCCAAAUCUCGACCGAAACAUUCCUCUGCACAUAAACCACCCAGGGUUUAUGAAGCGAAAAGAGGACAACCGAAGGAAAAUGGCGUUCUUGGCAGAAUUUCUGAACAAUGGAGUUGGAAGGGACCUUGGAGGUCUUCUAGUCCAACCCUCUGCUCAAGCAGGAGACUCUAUACCAGUCAUGGAGAACAUUUUCGGCAUCGAGUGCCCAAACCGGAAAGUGGAUGCAUGCGCAUACCGAAAACUCAAAGACCAGCUGGUGGACAUGCCCGUUUUUGGAAGUCUUUCAGGCUGUUUUUCAGACCAUUUUUGGGGCGUUUUUCGGCCAUUUCCCCGCCAUUUUCCGGGCUGUUUUUUUGGGCCGUUUUCUGGCCAUUUUCAGGGCGUUUUGAGGGCAUUUUCAGGGCUGUGUUCCGGCUGUUUUCAGGGGCAUUUUUGGGCUGUUUUCAGGGCUGCUUUUUUGGACCAAAAAUGGCCUGAAAAAUAGCCUAAAAGGUGCUCCGGCACUCGCGAAGACCAGCUGGUUGGCGUGCUGGAAACAAGAGAAGCUGGCGAUGGCGCGCAUGCCCAGGGAAGGCUUUGCGUGCCACCGGUUCGCCAUCAUAGCUCUAUACCAUUCCAGGCAAAUAGUUGCCAAAUCUCUUCUUCAAAAUCUCCAGUGAUGGAGAACCCACGACUUCUGAAGAAAAGGCAUUCUACUUGAUGAACUGUUCUAAAUGUCAGGAAAUUUCUCCUGAAUUCUGCUGUUGAGACGUCUGGUUCGGUUCUGCAACCCAACAAGAAAGACACAGACUUCAGAGGAUAAUUAGAACUGCAGAAGAAAUAAUUGCUACCAACCUGCCUUCCAUUGAGGACCUGUAUACUGCACAAAUCAAGAAGAGGGCCGUGAAAAUAUUUACAGAUCCCUCACAUCCUGGACAUAAACUGUUUCAACUCCUACCCUCAAAACGACCUAUAGAGCACUGCACACCAGAACAACUAGACACAAGAACAGUUUUUUCCCUGAAGGCCAUCACUCUGCUAAACAAAUAAUUCCCUCAACACUGUCAAACUAUUUUCUAAAUCUGCACUACUAUUAAUCUUCUCAUCGUUCCCAUCACCAAUCUCUUUCCACUUAUGACUUUAUGACUGUAACUUGUUUCUGGCAAUCCUUAUGAUUUAUAUUGAUAUAUUGACCAUCAAUUGUGUUGUAAAUGUUGUACCUUGAUGAACGUAUCUUUUCUUUUAUGCACACUGAGAGCAUAUGCACCAAGACAAAUUCCUUGUGUGUCCAAUCACACUUGGCCAAUAAAAAAUUCUAUUCUAUUCUAUUCUAUUCUAUUUAUGAUAGACAACUCUUUAGCCUAAUGUUUAGGCUACUCUUCAUACGUUUUCGUUCAUCGCGCAGCUACGAUUUGCUUUCAACCAGGGUUUCUCAACACUGGGCACGUUUGAGCCAGGUGGACUUCAAUUCCCAGGAUUCCCCAGCCAGCCAUGAUGGCUGUGGAAUUCUGGGAGUUGAAGUUCCACCACCACCACCAUCCUAAACUUAUCAAGGUUAAAAACACUGGUUUAAGCCAUUCUAAGUUGAGUUCACCAACUCUUAAUCGACAAGAGCACAACGGCCGAAGUUGUGUGCUUUGUCCAGAAGUGCAAUCUACCCUGUGUACAUUGUGUAAAUACAACUAUUUAAGGCAACUAUUGGAUGGCAACCAACAGGACGUGGGAGGUGAAAAUCCGACAAAUAAAUAUUUUGGAGACGUUGGGAAGCUUGCGAUUUCACUUUCCGGUCCAAAAAAACAAGAGAAAAACCUUGACGCUCAAUUCUUUCAGCACAUUUUUUCUCUCGCCUGCCCUACAGACAUCAACAACUAAGAAUUUGAAACCAUGCCACGGAAUUGGGAAAGAGCCUUAGAAAAAAUCUCGAUUCCUUCUACAAGUGGAUGACUGCACACCUACCGCCGUGACUCGUAUUAAGAGCAGGCUCGGCCACCGCAAAAUUGUCGUCAUGGCUUUUAUCAGAAAUCCCUGUAAACCUAGGUAGGGUUUACCAAGUCGGACUAAGGCAGGGGUCUCCAACCUUGGCAACUUUAAGACUUGUGGACUUGAACUCCCAGAAUUGAAGAAUUGAGGAAUUCUGGGAGUUGAAGUCCACAAGUCUUAAAGUUGCCAAGGUUGGAGACCCCUGGACUAAGGAACGAGACCCCUGGACUAAGGAACACAACACGGGGCUGUGUUUGGACCCAUCUCCAGUAUUAACCUGUGGCCGGCUUUGCAACGACACUGGGCUAAUUAUAAACAUCCUCCUGCUUUGGCUAUUAAUAUUCUGUGACCUGUGCGACGCUUUGAAAGAGGAGGCCUGAUUUCUUGUAGAUGGACCACGUGAUACGCCAAUGCAACGCUGCAAGUGUUUAUUACUUGUCUACGGUGUUUGCAUGCUGAGCCAGCCAUGCAUGGGGCUUGUUCUUCGUUUCCUGUUUCCCAGACUUCAGAGGGUUAAGUCAAACCUAUGCAAGUCAAGAUCAGUUCUAUGAUCCACGUGUGGCUGUAUCUGGCUUGUCUUAAUCAACGUGGUUGUUUGUAUUCACACAACACCAUGAACUAUUCAUUCAUGGUGUGUUGGUGUUGACAGAAGACGUGAAUCCGCAAAACAAGGAAUCAAUCUGUGGCCCAGUAUCAGUGAUGGGUUGCUCCUGGUUCAGUCCGGUUCUAUAGAACCGGUAGUAAAACCGGUGGGAGACGCCGCCCACCCACCACGUCGUCAUCCUGGGUGAUCUGUGCAUGCGCAGAAGCGUGCUUGCGCGCUCCCGUUGCAAACAGGUAGUAAAAAAAAAGAUCUGCCUGCAAGUUUUAAUUGGAAGAAGAGACGGGCCAGUUCCAGAAUUAAAAUACCAGACUUUAAAAACCACGGAGGGUAAUGGCAGCGGUGGGAUCCUGCUGGUUUAACAACUGGUUUGGUGACUGUGUGUUUUGCGGGUGGGUGGGUGGGCAGGCCGACCUGAUUGUCGGAGCUACCGGUUCGCUUGAUACCGGUCUGUACUGGCUAAAUCCCACUACUGGGUUACAGUCAAGUUUUGUCUUGACCACUCACUUUCAGUGCAGGAUAAAAGGGAGGGAGGGGAGUUUAAAAUGAAGGGAGAACACCCCGAUAAAGCAGUAAUAAAUAAACUUAAAAAGGCCAUCUCUGAAAAUCUACCACCAACUGUUUAACCAUCUCUCUUUAGCUUUGGACAUGGCAAGUGGGCACAUUUCUAUAUAUUUCUACGCACGAAUGCUGUGCAGGUGGUCCUCGACUUACAACCGUGACCAUUCAAAGUGUAUUGUGCUUUUUCCCCCCCUUGUAUUGUGUAUUUUAACUUUUUGGAAAUUCAAUAAAUAUUAUUUAAAAAAGAACAAACAAAGUUACAACAUCACUGAAAAGAGAGACUUGUGACCAUUUUUCAGAGUUACAACCUUUGUAGCCUCCCCAUGAUAAAUCAGGCGAUCAAAAUCCACAUGCUUAGCAACUGUUGUAAAUGUUGUACCUUGAUGAAUGUAUCUUUUCUUUUAUGUACACUGAGAGCAUAUGCACCAAGACAAAUUCCUUGUCUGUCCAAUCACACUUGGUCAAUAAAAAUUCUAUUCUAUUCUAUUCUAUUCUAUUCUAUUCUAUUCUAUUCUAUUCUAUUCUAUUCUAUUCUAUUCUAUUCUAUUCUAUUCCCUCCCGAUCAGCUGGGACUCGGGAGGCAGAGAAUAGAUGGGGGGCAGGGCCAGUCAGAAUCUUUACUACCGGUUCUCCGAACUACUCAAAAUUUCCGCUACCGGUUUUCCAGAACUGGUCGGAACCUGCUGAAACCCACCUCUGGAACAGUGGCUCCUUCAGGACUUGUGGACUUCGACUUCCAGAAUUCCUGACCACAAGUCCUAAAAGGGCUACCGUUCCACCCCCCCACCCCCCCACCCCCAUCUUACACAGAAAAAUUGCCAUUUCUCCAGCUGACCUCCCGGGACAUCUUGUUUGCAAACGAUCCUGCACCUCCGCUUUCGAAAUCCAAGUUCAUCCGCCAAACAUAAUAAGGUCGAGACAAGAGCCUCCUUGUCACUCUAUUAAGAACCAUUUCAAUUUCACCUCCAGCA